Long non-coding RNA from Xenia sp. Carnegie-2017, 1753 nucleotides. RefSeq lists it as uncharacterized. NCBI's taxonomy places the organism in Eukaryota, Metazoa, Cnidaria, Anthozoa, Malacalcyonacea, Xeniidae. The transcript is spliced from 11 exons. The record is from RefSeq and is a predicted model, not a curated record.
CCACAAUGUUGUGUAAGGAAAAACGAUUAUUCUGAGCACAUUUUCCAAUUUCAAGUCUGGAUUCUCUACAUCCUUUAAUCACAAUGUCAUAUAUGUUAAUAGAAUAGCAGUGUGUCAUAUGAAUCUCAAUUUUUUGAACAAGAAAAUGAAUUUGGGGAUUUAAAUGAACAAAGUGAAGAUAUUGCUGAAAAUUAUGACAAGCACCAAGAGUUAACCACCAAAACACAGGAUUCUGAAGAUAUUUUUACCAAGCAAUCUAUCUCUAUGAUUACAGAGGAAUCUAAACAACCAUGUCAACAUAGUCAAAGUCAUUUGUCACCCACUGGCCACUAUACUGGGCUAUUGUUACAGUUUGACUUUGCAUCAAAUGUAUCACGUCAGCAAUCCUUUGUUGUUCAUGAUUAUAAUGCAAACAAAAGAGCAAUUAUGGUGAUGUCAAAUUUUAUUUCCAUAAUUUCAAUGUUGGGUAUAUACCCAACUAAAUGAUAUUACUCAAUACUCUUUUUUUGGUACUAUAACCUGCAUGUAUUUUUUUCUUUUGCAUAAUUCAUUUGUAUUUGUUCAUCGAUAUCCCCACCUAUUGCUUGAUGGCUACGGUUGGAUAUUGUGCUGCUCAUGUGAUGCAAAUAGAAAGCAAUUUGUUGAAGCCCUACCUAAUAAUAUACAAUUAGAUCCUCAAAAAGAUAUACCAUAUCCCAGUUGCAUACACAUAUUAGCAAUGGAAAAAUAUCUGGUUGUGUAUGAUAGAAAGUUUGGUAUUGAAGCCAAAGAUUUUAUUGAAAAAAAAUCCACAUCCAUGAUGCAGUCUGUUUUCAGUGAUCAUUCCUACCAUGAGAUGCAACCUGAAGAAGACUUGUUUAGUGCAGUGUGCAGGAGGUUCAGUGGAUUGCUGUAAAACCAGUGAAUAGUCCAUGGGGGGUUUGUACUUUUGUGUAUUCAAAAGUAACGCCGCCCCAGCCCGAGUUAAAAUGUUGCAGCUGUUCGUCAUAUCAUUGCAUUCAUGUGACAACCCUUGCAAAAGCCAUGCAAAUCGUUGAAGAGGAUGAAAUGGAUUCUCCAUUGGCACUUUUUAAGUGUUCCUUUGGAAUUACACCAGAGAUGCGAGACUAUUUUGAAUUGGCUACACUUAGCAAAGAAAAGGUUUCUUUAUUUGAAACAGGCAAUGAGAAUGAUGCAAGCGAUUUUACUGAUCUUCCUGAAAAAAAUGGUCAUAAAAUUUUGGCGCCAUCUGAAAGUGGUAUUUGUUUUGUGGUGCAGAGUGGGAUAAACGUUCUAUUCAAGAUGAAUGGUUGUACGUAGACGUGUGUUCAGUUGCGUACUUUUAUUCAAUCCAUGAUGUAAAAGUGUAUUGUAGACCUUGCUCCUCUUGUGCUACGAAAAAGCAUUAUGAUGGCAUUGAAAACAGGAUUGUAUGGUUUGGAUCAUAUGCAAUAUCUCAUGCCGUUCUAAAAGAUUACAUUCGGCUUUUCAUAACGUCGAGUUUACCUAUGUACAAAUAUUAUGUUGCGUAUGUACAAAGGCAAGUGUCUUCGGGUAAUUUUAAUUUCCCAAAGGAAAUAACUUACGCCAAGUUUCGUCUCGCUAUCAUUGCCAUGAUACGGUUGCUUAAUAUUGAUUUUGACAAUGGGUUUUUUUGUGAAUUAUGUGGAAGAAUUCCCAAAAGGUAGUGAUGGAUGGAACAACUCUUGGAAUACAGAAAACUUUCUUACCAAAUAAUUUAAGAGAGUCUGAUACUGGAUUGCUAGAUGGAAGA